Molecule: non-coding RNA, 109 nt
Organism: Acanthosepion pharaonis
Lineage: Eukaryota; Metazoa; Mollusca; Cephalopoda; Sepiida; Sepiidae
Source: the annotation of a GenBank genome assembly
UUACGGCCGUAUCGCGUUGAAUCACCGGUUUCCAUACGAUCAUUUAAGCAACGACGAGCUUGGUCAGUACCAAGAUGGGUGAACGCCUGGGAAUAGCAGGUGCUGUAGG